AUACGGGAGGCAGCAGUGGGGGAUAUUGCACAAUGGGCGAAAGCCUGAUGCAGCGACGCCGCGUGAGGGAAGACGGUUUUCGGAUUGUAAACCUCUGUCUUCGGGGACGAAACAAGACGGUACCCGAGGAGGAAGCCACGGCUAACUACGUGCCAGCAGCCGCGGUAAUACGUAGGUGGCAAGCGUUGUCCGGAAUUACUGGGUGUAAAGGGAGUGUAGGCGGGGCUUCAAGUCCGUUGUGAAACCGAUCGGCUCAACUGAUCGUUGCGGCGGAAACUGGAGUUCUUGAGUGAGGUAGAGGCAGGCGGAAUUCCCAGUGUAGCGGUGAAAUGCGUAGAUAUUGGGAGGAACACCAGUGGCGAAGGCGGCCUGCUGGGCCUUAACUGACGCUGAGGCUCGAAAGUGUGGGGAGCAAACAGGAUUAGAUACCCCGGUAGG
RNAcentral lists this ribosomal RNA (438 nucleotides) under uncultured bacterium. Its description in RNAcentral is "bacterial SSU rRNA". It matches the Rfam family "Bacterial small subunit ribosomal RNA", at positions 339 to 794 of the family's 1533-position model. The record is from RNAcentral.